RNAcentral lists this ribosomal RNA (451 nucleotides) under uncultured bacterium. RNAcentral describes it as "partial 16S ribosomal RNA". It matches the Rfam family "Bacterial small subunit ribosomal RNA", at positions 354 to 796 of the family's 1533-position model. The record is from RNAcentral.
GUGGGGAAUAUUGGACAAUGGGGGGAACCCUGAUCCAGCCAUGCCGCGUGUGUGAAGAAGGCCUUUUGGUUGUAAAGCACUUUAAGUGGGGAGGAGGCUUACCUAGUUAAUACCUGGGCUAAGUGGACGUUACCCACAGAAUAAGCACCGGCUAACUCUGUGCCAGCAGCCGCGGUAAUACAGAGGGUGCGAGCGUUAAUCGGAUUUACUGGGCGUAAAGCGCGCGGAGGUGGUUAAUUAAGUCAAAUGUGAAAUCCCCGAGCUUAACUUGGGAAUUGCAUUCGAUACUGGUUGGCUUGAGUAUGGGAGAGGAUGGUAGAAUUCCAGGUGUAGCGGUGAAAUGCGUAGAGAUCUGGAGGAAUACCGAUGGCGAAGGCAGCCAUCUGGCCUAAUACUGACACUGAGGUGCGAAAGCAUGGGGAGCAAACAGGAUUAGAUACCCCUGUAGUCC